GGCUCAGGAUGAACGCUAGCUACAGGCUUAACACAUGCAAGUCGAGGGGAAACGAUAGAGAAAGCUUGCUUUUUCUAGGCGUCGACCGGCGCACGGGUGAGUAACGCGUAUCCAACCUGCCCAUCACUUGGGGAUAACCUUGCGAAAGUAAGACUAAUACCCAAUGACGUCUCUAGAAGACAUCUGAAGGAGAUUAAAGAUUUUAUCGGUGAUGGAUGGGGAUGCGUCUGAUUAGCUUGUUGGCGGGGUAACGGCCCACCAAGGCGACGAUCAGUAGGGGUUCUGAGAGGAAGGCCCCCCACAUUGGAACUGAGACACGGUCCAAACUCCUACGGGAGGCAGCAGUGAGGAAUAUUGGUCAAUGGACGAGAGUCUGAACCAGCCAAGUAGCGUGCAGGAUGACGGCCCUAUGGGUUGUAAACUGCUUUUAUAAGGGAAUAAAGUGAGUCUCGUGAGACUUUUUGCAUGUACCUUAUGAAUAAGGACCGGCUAAUUCCGUG
This 500-nucleotide ribosomal RNA is filed under the name uncultured bacterium. RNAcentral's name for it is "bacterial SSU rRNA". It matches the Rfam family "Bacterial small subunit ribosomal RNA", at positions 21 to 507 of the family's 1533-position model. The record is from RNAcentral.